RNAcentral lists this ribosomal RNA (492 nucleotides) under uncultured bacterium. Its description in RNAcentral is "partial 16S ribosomal RNA". It matches the Rfam family "Bacterial small subunit ribosomal RNA", at positions 29 to 507 of the family's 1533-position model. The record is from RNAcentral.
AGUGAACGCUGGCGGCAGGCCUAACACAUGCAAGUCGAACGGCAGCACAGUAAGCGCUCUCUCUUACGGUUGGCGACUGGCGGAUGGGUGAGGAAUACAUCGGCAUCUACUUUUUCGUGGGGGACAACGUAGGGAAACUUACGCUAAUACAGCAUACGAUCUACGGGUGAAAGCAGAGGACCUUCGGACCUUGCGUGAUUGAAUGAGCUGAUGUCGGAUUAGCUAGUUGGCGGGGUAAAGACCCACCAAGGCGACGAUCCGUAGCUGGUCUGAGAGGAUGAUCAGCCACACUGGAACUGAGACACGGUCCAGACUCCUACGGGAGGCAGCAGUGGGGAAUAUUGGACAAUGGGCGCAAGCCUGAUCCAGCCAUGCCGCGUGGGUGAAGAAGGCCUUCGGGUUGUAAAGCCCUUUUGUUGGGGAAGAAAAUCAGCGGGUUAAUACCCCGCUGUUCUGACGGUACCCAAAGAAUAAGCACCGGCUAACUACGUG